GAGACCAAUUUGGCCUGGGGAGAACCGCCUUCAGGCGUUUGGACUCAGUGGAGGUUGUGAGUGCCCAGCAGUGUGGCCUGAAUCUCCGUGGGGUUUAGGGAGACGAAAGGACCCCAGAUCGACGUCCCCUCGUUCCCACUUUGGGGAUCGGCGCUCUGGCUGUUUCGUGAAGGAGAGAGAGGUUGAUUCCAUACCCUGGCUAUUGUGAAUAAUGCUGCAGUGAACAUGGGAGUACAUACAUCUGUUUGAGGAACUCAGAGUGGUUUUCCAGAUGGGAAUCACAUUGCUCUCUGUCCCUGAGAUCUUGCUGGAGACAGGGCUACUCAGUCCCUCUUUGCCAGGUGAGUAUAGAUGCAGUGUGGUGACUUACUCAAGGGCACCUAGAGUUAGUGGGAUAGGUCUGGCACUGUGGCCAGGUAUGUCUCCUGUCCCAUAUCCAUCUGCAUGUCCAUUAUACACAGCUGUAUUAGUUUGUUUUCAUGCUCCUGAUAAAGACAUACCCAAAACUAGGAACAAAAAAAGGUUUAAUUGGACUUACAGUUCCACAUGGCUGGGGAGGCCUCAGAAUCAUGGUAGGAGGUGAAAAGCUCUUCUUACAUGGUGGCAGCAAGAGAAAAUAAGGAAGAAGCAAAAGCGGAAACCCCUGAUAAUCCCAUCAGAUCUCGUGAAUCUCAUUAACUAUCACGAGAAUAGCACGAGAAAGACUGGCCCCCAUGAUUCAGUUACCUCCCCCUGGGUCCCUCCCACAACAUGUGGGAAUUCCGGGAGAUACAAUUCAAGUUGAGAUUUCGAUGGGGACGAUGGGGACACAGCCAAACCAUAUCAUUCUGCCCCUGGCCCCUCCAAAUCUCAUGUCCUCACAUUUCAAAA
This 870-nucleotide long non-coding RNA is filed under the name Homo sapiens (human). RNAcentral describes it as "long intergenic non-protein coding RNA 630". The record is from RNAcentral. Lineage: Eukaryota; Metazoa; Chordata; Mammalia; Primates; Hominidae.